GUCCACGCCGUAAACGAUGGGCACUAGGUCCUUGGGGAGGCGACCCUCUGAGGGCCGGGCGCUAACGCAUUAAGUGCCCCGCCCUGGGGAGGUACGGCCGCAAGGCUGAAACUCAAAGGAAAUUGACGGGGGCCCGGCACAAGCGGUGGAGCAUGUGGUUUAAUUCGACGCAACGCGAAGAACCUUACCUGGGCUUGACAUGCAGGGGAAAGGCUGGGGGAAACCGUCGGCCCUCCUUCGGGACUCCUGCACAGGUGCUGCAUGGCUGUCGU
Molecule: ribosomal RNA, 272 nt
Filed under: uncultured bacterium
Lineage: Bacteria
Description: partial 16S ribosomal RNA
Rfam family: Bacterial small subunit ribosomal RNA
Source: RNAcentral